Molecule: ribosomal RNA, 457 nt
Filed under: Oxytorus albopleuralis
Lineage: Eukaryota; Metazoa; Arthropoda; Insecta; Hymenoptera; Ichneumonidae
Description: partial 28S ribosomal RNA
Source: RNAcentral
CCUGAGAAACCCAAAAGAUCGAAUGGGGAGAUUCAUCGUCAGCGAUCCCGGUACGUGUGCGGUUCGUGAUGCCGGGGACUUCGGUCUCAUGGCACGCGUCCGCAUGGCUUUACUGCCGGGUGUCGUCGGCGUGCACUUCUCCCCUAGUAGGACGUCGCGACCCGUUGGGUGUCGGUCUACGGCCCGGGAUGUCGCCUGUCAUGUGUCGCGCCUCACGGCGCCAUGUGUGGCAGACCCCCGGUUGUCUGACCAGCUGCUCGGCGGUACUCGCACGGUAUCGAGUCGCAAAUAUUCGAACUGCGUCCGGCCCGCCGCAAGCGAGGCCAGUGUUUUCCCGGAUGUACGGACCUAGCGCCGUCACCGGGCCUGGCCAGCUGCUGGUUGGCGGUGUCCUGGGACUGACUCUAAAUAAUUAUGAUACCGGUCGGCGACGCUACUGCUUUGGGUACUUUCAGGA